RNAcentral lists this ribosomal RNA (258 nucleotides) under uncultured bacterium. RNAcentral's name for it is "partial 16S ribosomal RNA". It matches the Rfam family "Bacterial small subunit ribosomal RNA", at positions 15 to 263 of the family's 1533-position model. The record is from RNAcentral.
GAUCCUGGCUCAGGAUGAACGCUAGCGACAGGCUUAACACAUGCAAGUCGAGGGGCAGCGAGGGAGUGGCAACACUUCCGUCGGCGACCGGCGCACGGGUGAGUAACGCGUAUGCAACCUGCCCUUCACAGGGGGAUAACCGGGAGAAAUUCCGACUAAUACCGCAUACGUCCUCCGGGGGCAUCCCCGGGGGAUGAAAGAAUUAUCGGUGAAGGAUGGGCAUGCGUGAUAUUAGGGUAAGUUGGCGGGGCAACCGGG